UAGAGUUUGAUCAUGGCUCAGAUUGAACGCUGGCGGCAGGCCUAACACAUGCAAGUCGGACGGUAGCACAGAGGAGCUUGCUCCUUGGGUGACGAGUGGCGGACGGGUGAGUAAUGUCUGGGGAUCUGCCCGAUAGAGGGGGAUAACCACUGGAAACGGUGGCUAAUACCGCAUAACGUCGCAAGACCAAAGAGGGGGACCUUCGGGCCUCUCACUAUCGGAUGAACCCAGAUGGGAUUAGCUAGUAGGUGGGGUAAUGGCCCACCUAGGCGACGAUCCCUAGCUGGUCUGAGAGGAUGACCAGCCACACUGGAACUGAGACACGGUCCAGACUCCUACGGGAGGCAGCAGUGGGGAAUAUCGCACAAUGGGCGCAAGCCUGAUGCAGCCAUGCCGCGUGUAUGAAGAAGGCCUUCGGGUUGUAAAGUACUUUCAGCGGGGAGGAAGGCGACGGGGUUAAUAACCCUGUCGAUUGACGUUACCCGCAGAAGAAGCACCGGCUAACUCCGUGCCAGCAGCCGCGGUAAUACGGAGGGUGCAAGCGUUAAUCGGAAUUACUGGGCGUAAAGCGCACGCAGGCGGUCUGUUAAGUCAGAUGUGAAAUCCCCGGGCUUAACCUGGGAACUGCAUUUGAAACUGGCAGGCUUGAGUCUUGUAGAGGGGGGUAGAAUUCCAGGUGUAGCGGUGAAAUGCGUAGAGAUCUGGAGGAAUACCGGUGGCGAAGGCGGCCCCCUGGACAAAGACUGACGCUCAGGUGCGAAAGCGUGGGGGAGCAAACAGGAUUAGAUACCCUGGUAGUCCACGCCGUAAACGAUGUCGACUUGUAGGUUGUUCCCUUGAGGAGUGCUUCCGGAGCUAACGCGUUAAGUCGACCGCCUGGGGAGUACGGCCGCAGGUUAAAACUCAAAUGAAUUGACGGGGGCCCGCACAAGCGG
This 935-nucleotide ribosomal RNA is filed under the name uncultured Pantoea sp. RNAcentral's name for it is "bacterial SSU rRNA". It matches the Rfam family "Bacterial small subunit ribosomal RNA", at positions 1 to 932 of the family's 1533-position model. Lineage: Bacteria; Pseudomonadati; Pseudomonadota; Gammaproteobacteria; Enterobacterales; Erwiniaceae. The record is from RNAcentral.